Triticum aestivum (bread wheat) is the source of this 4358-nucleotide long non-coding RNA. RefSeq lists it as uncharacterized. NCBI's taxonomy places the organism in Eukaryota, Viridiplantae, Streptophyta, Magnoliopsida, Poales, Poaceae. The transcript has 13 exons. The record is from RefSeq and is a predicted model, not a curated record.
AUUAACCAGCGAAAAAAAUUGUCUUGGAACGAGGCCUCCAGGUGCCCUCGAGCUCGCACUCGCAUGAGAUCCCUUCCAGGCCACCACGCCACACCACCAGAUCCCAUCGCCGCCACCUCGCACUCGCAUCCCAUCGCCGCCGCCCGUGCGUUCUCGAUCGGAGAGGACGCUCCCUUCGCCGCCGCUGAGAUCCGAGAAGAGUCGCCCUUCGCCGGCGCCAAGAUCCUGUGCCUCUCUAAAGACCCCUCUCUCUCGCGACACCGCCUCCCUUACAAGGACGCCAUGCCAUGGGUCUCCAUCGGUGCCACGACUGCCGCGGCCUCCCCACCUGCCGACGCUCUAGAUCCGGCCGUAGUUGAUUCCCUGUACAUCAUCUCAAGGAGGAGGGGCGUGAGGCGGUUGCCGCCGCCGGUGGCUGCACUUGAAGGUCUCCGCCGCUUGCUCCAACCAGAUCCAGCCAGACCGACCUGUGGUGGUCCACGUGCAUCUGGACGGACGCAACGGCUUUGCCUCCCCUGUCCCAUGUCUUCGUCCACCAGACCAUCCCAUUGCGGUAAUAAAUCUCUAGCCAUGCCCUUUUCCUUGAGAUGAACUACAAAAUUUCUGUUCUGUUAUAUCUUGGUGAAUGUCUCGUCAAUUGCCAUACAAAUACAUGUGUGCUUCUCCUGUCGUGCAUUUGAUGGGUAAGCUGCUGCUACCCGGGCUCACAUGACCCCGUGGAGGAAGGAGCUGCGCAAGGAAUCACUGCCAAAAGACUCAAGAUGAGUUUGGAGUGUCCUGGAUUCCAGUCCAUGUUCCGCAAGGACGAAGCAACGUGAGCUAGCCGAGGGUUCAGAUUGACGUUCGCUUUGAUUCUCGUUGAUUCAUUGUUUUGACCGACCCAAGCAGCGCCGGCGCUCACGGAGGAGAACCUGAUAUUUCUAGAGGCCUGACGCGCGGUCGAUCACACUUACUACGACAAGUCCUCCAACGGGUGGAGCUGGUUCAGGUACCACAAGCACCCUCCAGGAAAAGCAGGUUCCAGCUGUGCAAAGUCUGCCUACUACUGCUAUCCAUACUGCGCUAUAGCAAAAUAGCUUUGGAUCAGGACUAACCUCUAGCCAGGAAAGAACCUGAAUCCCAAGUCGACGGCCGCUGCGGUGCCCACGUCCGCGUCAUUAGUGCUGCUAAGGGGCGCUUCACCCUGUUCGGCAUUAUCUUCUAUUCUUCCUACGGCUGCAAGAACCCUCACCUUGGCUAUGGCAGAUGCGACAGAUAAAGCAGGAGAUGGAUGAAAUGCUGCUGAGACGUUACAAGAUAUUCCAGCAGAGGCAUCCUUACCAUCCGCAUUACAAGGAUAUGAGAACAUUGGGGUCCUGAAGGCAGUGACCUGUUUACCAUACACAUAUUUACUUCCUUUCUAGGGUGGAACAAUGGAAGGCACAAUUCCAAAUUUCCAAGUACAGCUCUUCAAGAACAGGAUCUCUGAAGGAACAACAAUUUACAAGCUUGGCGCUUACCAGGUUCAGUAUGCUAGGGAAAGAUACAAAACUGUAGAUCGUCCAUGGAGAGUAGUGUUUGCCCAAAAAACUACCGUCGAACCAAUUGUGCCUCAGCCACCAAACUUUCCCAAGUAUGGAUAUACCACCUACAAUGUACACAGUACCAAAGCUGCAUUAAACAAAUCGUUUUGUUGUCAGUUACCAGCAUCACAAGAAUAUUUGCGCCGAGCGGCGGAUCGAUUGACCAGAUAUGAGAAAAUCACAUCACAAAUAAUGCCCGCCGUUGUGAUGUUUUGGGGAAAAUUAGCAGAUGCCCUUGAUGCAGACAAGCUACAACGGUGGUCUGCUCAAGAACCCAUUAUAGUUCUAUUUGUUGGCAUGCCAGUACAUGAAUUUAAUGAAACUUGACCUUCAAGUCCUGUCUGGCAACUCGAUGGUACAUGAAUCCAACUAUUUCUGAAGCGGCAGCUAUUCUAGGAAGAUCUACUGCAAGAUCCCAUCAAAUUGAGAUAAGCACCGGCUCACAGGGUCAUCGCUAGGCAACAAAUACAACAAACACAUAAUUAUCAGCCGUUGACCCUGGUGGAAUCAUGGACCAGUACUAUAAACUGGAAAUAAAGAGAACUGAAGUGUCCCCUUCCACGGCGUUGGGGGGCCUUUCUCUGCCAGGCGCGGUGGCUCCUUGGUAGGAUGAUGCAGCUGGCUCGGCGGAGGCUAGGAGGCUCGUCGGCCGACAUUUCGUUGAUGCAUGGGUGCCAUAUUGCGAUGGAACGGCAGUAUAAUAUACAAAACUUUGACGAGGCUCACCUGCUUCAAAAUUUCACAAUAAGUCCAAUCAAGACAACUUGCAACUUUGGUGUUGUCACAUUGGAGUCCGUGCUGAGCAGCAAUGGGAGACUGUCGUUGAUGCCCGACCCAUGAUGCCGACGAAGGAACGAGAGUCGAUGAGGAGUAGACGCCAUGGGUUUGUGAACUGGCCAAGCCACCGUUGUCCGUUUGGUAAUGUGACUUGCCCUGAUUUUGACGUCGUCUACCAACAUCCGACGAAGGGAACCCGUCCCGGUUUCCAUCUUGAUGUUAUAUUAUCAACCUUCAGCAAGCAGUGACAACGAACUCCAUCCCCCCACCACACCACACCCAUGUUUCAUUUGAUGUGCUUUAAGCCAUGUUUCAGCUUGUCUCGACCCAGCAUGUAUUUUUUGUUUCAGUUAUUGAGCUCUGCACUACAAAACUGAGAAAGACCCAUAACUUUUUACAGGUCAGCCAUGUUUACUAAAAUAUAUAAUUUCUAAAACAUUUCCAGCAAUAUGUGAGUUGUUUGCUUGCUCAACAUUACUCUAGGAUCGUUUCUACAUACUACAAAUAGAGGGAAGUUGGCUUGUGCCUUAGUAGAGACAGAUGAACCAAUAAAAUGAUUGGAAAGGCUCUUUCCAAGCAUAAGAGGAGCUUUUGAAGGAACUGAAGAACCGGAACCUCCCCUCCUCCCUCCCGCGACGCUCCCGCAGGCGUCCGGGGGGCAACCCUAGCACCGCCGCCGGUCCCCCCUCCUCUCCCUACCCCCUCGCGGCCGCCCGGGGGCGCGAGCGGGCGAAGCCCGCUCGUCGCUGGCGGCGGCGGGGCCUUCUUGUCUCCGCGCGUGGGGGUUUCUGUGAGGGCCGGACGCCUCUGGCCGGAUGCGGCGCUUGGCGCUGGCCGUGGCAGCUCAGCAGCGCGCCGACGUGGGCUGUCGGCGGCGCAUGCCAGCGAUGGGAUGGGCAGUGCGGUGGUGGUGCAGGCUGGAGGCUGGUGGUGGCGGCGGCGCGCCCAGAUCCGCCUCUGGCGCCGCGAGUUGCGGGCGACCUGGAUCACGGUCGGCCUUCCCUACCAUGGCUCGUGGGGGGGCAGCGGGUGGAUGCGUGUGCCGUUGCCCGUCCGAGCCCUUGUGGCAGGUCGAUGUUGCACGGCGCUGGAGACUCCCCUGGUGGCCAUCCAUGGAUGCGGCGGCGGGCUCUGCUUCCUCAUUAGAUUAAAUUUUGGUAUUACAUUUUUUAGCACUUCAUGUGAAUGUUCUAUAGUCUCUAUUGUGCAGGCGGGUCUACUCUCCCUCUUGAGGCGAGUGUGGAUGUAAUGGACAUUGAUUGUGGUUGUUCGGACAAAAAUAUUGCGUGGAAACAUUAUAUACUGAUGGAUUUAAUUAGCAUGGGCUGGACGGGAAGGUGAUGCCUGCGAUGGCGACCAAGACGACGGGCAGCGCAGGGGCAAUUGUGGCCAUCGUGGUGUUUUCAAGGGAGAGCGAGGCAACUGCAAUCACGCAACUGAAGAAGUCGAAACCCGGGGCGAAGUUGGCCAACAUGAAAGCUGACAAACCUAAAUGCCGGUGAUAGGUUGUUCGCCGCUGUCGUGCCGUCUUUGAACUUGGUGGAGACGCAGAAGCAGUGGCGGAGCUAGGAUCAAGCCAUGACCCGGGCAAGCCCCAGGCCAAUCACUUGGUACAGUGCUAAACAGUGUAAAAUCCACUACAGUAAACGAAGGAGCCAAGCCUCAGGACCCAGGCCGCCGCCCGGGCAGCCUGGGGCUUGUCUCCGCCACUAUGCAGAAGGAGAACGGUGGCGCCGUGAAGACCUUGACGACUGUUGCCAUGACCACAACCAUGAUGAUUGUGUUGGUAAUAAAGAUACUAAUUAUAUACAAAUCCCCCAGCUUCGAAAACAUUAGAUUAUCCAACUUAUUAUUCAAAUUCUUGAUUCAAGAUAAAUGGAAAUUUCCUAUAUACAAUGAGCUUAUUAUUUUUUUUAGAAAAGGAGGAUGACCCCCGGCAUCUGCAUCUGGGAGAUGCAUACGGCCACUUUAUUGAUUAUUUUCGAGGACCUUAUAAAGUAUUACAACAAUAUACCUGAA